This 465-nucleotide ribosomal RNA is filed under the name uncultured bacterium. RNAcentral describes it as "bacterial SSU rRNA". It matches the Rfam family "Bacterial small subunit ribosomal RNA", at positions 338 to 795 of the family's 1533-position model. The record is from RNAcentral.
CCUACGGGCUGCACCAGUGGGGAAUAUUGGACAAUGGGCGAAAGCCUGAUCCAGCAAUGCCGCGUGUGUGAAGAAGGUCUUCGGGUUGUAAAGUACUUUCAGCGGGGAGGAAGGGAGUAAAGUUAAUACCUUUGCUCAUUGACGUUACCCGCAGAAGAAGCACCGGCUAACUCCGUGCCAGCAGCCGCGGUAAUACGGAGGGUGCAAGCGUUAAUCGGAAUUACUGGGCGUAAAGCGCACGCAGGCGGUCUGUCAAGUCGGAUGUGAAAUCCCCGGGCUCAACCUGGGAACUGCAUUCGAAACUGGCAGGCUUGAGUCUUGUAGAGGGGGGUAGAAUUCCAGGUGUAGCGGUGAAAUGCGUAGAGAUCUGGAGGAAUACCGGUGGCGAAGGCGGCCCCCUGGACGAAGACUGACGCUCAGGUGCGAAAGCGUGGGGAGCAAACAGGAUUAGAUACCCGGGUAGUC